AAAAUAUUUUGUUCUUCUUUGUACUUUCAGCAUGGCUGUUCCCAGCUGGCUUGAGCCUUCAUCCUGGGCCUGACACUCAUGGCUCCCAGGAAAACCAAGGCCCAUAAUGAUGAUCCAGAGCUGAUUAUGCAUCUUUCCCAGAACAUGAAGUCUGUGAGUUGAAGCAUGAAGACCAAAAUUGGAUUUGGGCACUCUUCCUGGGUCACGUGGUCUGUGGUUCAACGUGGAGACCAAGCUGAGUGUGGUCGGAGAUCUUGGCUUGGGUGGCUUUUAAAGUGUGUUUACCAUAUAGGUAAAGUCUUCAUGAGCAACAGAAGAAUGUCAACCAUGGGCCAAUAUUUGGAAAAUUUAGGCUUUAGAAUGAGGUACUGCAUAUAGGACAAGAUCCUGUAGAUAAAGUGUACAUAAUGAUACUGUUAACUUUUUUGUGAUUAGUUUUUAAUUUUUAAGAAUUUUUAUUAGUUAAAAUUUAGUCAGAGCAAUCAGGCAAGAAAAAUAAAAUGGAUAUAAGAAUGUUAUAUCAAAAAAGCAUGACGAUAGCACAAAAAUAGACACAUGGACCAAUAAAAUGGAAGAGCAGUUAAAAGAAAUAACUCCAUGCACAUUCAGCCAUCUGAUUUUUGACAAAGCGUCCACAAACACACCCUGGAGGCAGCCUUUUUAUAUAGCUGGGGAUAGUUCCUUUAUACAAAUUAUUAAUGAAGCUCAUAGUCCGUAAGUUCAGGUAGAAGUUAGUAGAGUAGGGCCAACCCGGAUGAUGACUCCACUCAAUGUCUGAGGUCCCACCCGCAAGGACACUAGUGUGUGCCUUGUGACCUUCAGGGCCCCUGUUAGGCAAAUUCAGGGGUGCUCCAGGAUGACCUGUGUGCUUCCGAGGGUUCAGUUUGCUUUUGUAAUGGAAUCCGUGAAAUAACCAUUACACAGUAAUAAAGUAAGACAGAGUGUGAAGCAUCGCCCAGUGGUGAGAAUUUAUAAUGUCCACACAUGCAUUCUUUUUGCACUUAAAGCAUUAAAGUCCCUUAAGAGAGAAAAAAUUUAAAGCUUGUUGUGAUUCUGGCUAAGGAUGGCAGAUAAAGCUGAAACAAUGGCUUUGAUGUUCACUUUCUUAAGAAAUACCCACAUAAUUUAACUCUUACCUAAAUGAUCAAUAAAAUUAAUGGAGGAAGGCAAGAUUAAGUGGGCAUGGUAUCAGUCUUCUUGUAAUCUCUUGUACCUGGUACAGAGCGUGGUUCUCCCAGCUGAUCAUCGCUUUCCUCCUUGAUUACAGGAUCUCUUUUUCUGCUGGUGUGUGAGGAACAUGCAGAUCAGUGUGAGUACUGUCAAAGUUCUAGCCUUAGUGUGAGUGGUUUUUAAAUGGGGCUUAAAUCCUUGCUCAGGUCAGGAAUAAACCGACUGUUUCUUAAGAAUGAAAGAACAUAAUUAGAUACACACCAAAAUGAGUAGUACAAGGAGCAGUGCAAGAAUAAAUGGAUGCAAUAUCAAUCUUAUUAUGACCUGUUCUGCUCAGUACUUUUAGAAUGGAUGCCUCCAAGCUGACAUAGGCCUUUUUUCCUGAUCUUGAGGGCUGCAGUUACUGCCAUAUUAGGAGCAUAGUGUGAGUAUAUUCAAGUUCUCAACUUUGUUUGAGUGGAUUUUCAAGGGUAUUCACAGUAGUUGUGAAAACUGUUAUGUAUAAUGCAAAGUUUCAGCUAUGGCUCAAGGAGAAAUACUAAAUGACCAUGAAACACAUUGUUGAAAAUUCAGCAGCAGGGAAUGAUAUAAUCAGGUUUGGAAAAGAUCCUACAGAUAUCUAUAACGUGUACUUCAAGAUUUGUCUUUAACAUUUUGUGAUUCCUGGUUAUAAAUUCACUUGAUAAAUGAAUAGUAGAGCAUGGUAGGGAAGAGGAGACCAUGUGAUGUACCUUCAGAC
This 1909-nucleotide long non-coding RNA is filed under the name Fukomys damarensis (Damara mole-rat). RNAcentral describes it as "lncRNA (ENSFDAG00000032698.1)". The record is from RNAcentral. Lineage: Eukaryota; Metazoa; Chordata; Mammalia; Rodentia; Bathyergidae.